RNAcentral lists this ribosomal RNA (433 nucleotides) under uncultured bacterium. RNAcentral describes it as "partial 16S ribosomal RNA". It matches the Rfam family "Bacterial small subunit ribosomal RNA", at positions 29 to 507 of the family's 1533-position model. The record is from RNAcentral.
AACUAACGCUGGCGGCAUGCCUAACACAUGCAAGUCGAACGAGACCUUCGGGUCUAGUGGCGCACGGGUGCGUAACGCGUGGGAACCUGCCCUUAGGUUCGGAAUAACUCCCCGAAAGGGGUGCUAAUACCGGAUAAUGUCUUCGGACCAAAGAUUUAUCGCCUUUGGAUGGGCCCGCGUUGGAUUAGCUAGUUGGUAGGGUAAAAGCCUACCAAGGCGACGAGCCAUAGCUGGUCUGAGAGGAUGAUCAGCCACACUGGGACUGAGACACGGCCCAGACUCCUACGGGAGGCAGCAGUGGGGAAUAUUGGACAAUGGGCGAAAGCCUGAUCCAGCAAUGCCGCAUGAGUGAUGAAGGCCUUAGGGUUGUAAAGCUCUUUUACCCGGGAUGAUAAUGACAGUACCGGGAGAAUAAGCUCCGGCUAACUCCGUG